AGUUUGAUCCUGGCUCAGGAUGAACGCUGGCGGCGUGCCUAACACAUGCAAGUCGAACGGUGAUAUAACGAUGAUUUCGGUCUGAAAUAUAUCAUAGUGGCGGACGGGUGAGUAACGCGUGGAUAACCUGCCCCGUACUGGGGGAUAGCAGCUGGAAACGGCUGGUAAUACCGCAUAAGCGCACGAGGGGGCCUCCCCCUGUGUGAAAAGAUUCAUCGGUACGGGAUGGGUCCGCGUCUGAUUAGCCAGUUGGCGGGGUAACGGCCCACCAAAGCGACGAUCAGUAGCCGGCCUGAGAGGGUGAACGGCCACAUUGGGACUGAGACACGGCCCAGACUCCUACGGGAGGCAGCAGUGGGGAAUAUUGCACAAUGGGCGAAAGCCUGAUGCAGCGACGCCGCGUGAGUGAAGAAGUAUUUCGGUAUGUAAAGCUCUAUCAGCAGGGAAGAAAGGCCCAUUAAGGGAGAUGACGGUACCUGACUAAGAAGCCCCGGCUAACUACGUGCCAGCAGCCGC
This 516-nucleotide ribosomal RNA is filed under the name uncultured bacterium. Its description in RNAcentral is "bacterial SSU rRNA". It matches the Rfam family "Bacterial small subunit ribosomal RNA", at positions 10 to 518 of the family's 1533-position model. The record is from RNAcentral.